AGAGUUUGAUCCUGGCUCAGAUUGAACGCUGGCGGCAGGCCUAACACAUGCAAGUCGAACGGUAACAUUUCUAGCUUGCUAGAAGAUGACGAGUGGCGGACGGGUGAGUAAUGCUUGGGAACUUGCCUUUGUGAGGGGGAUAACAGUUGGAAACGACUGCUAAUACCGCAUAACGUCUACGGACCAAAGGGGGGGAUCUUCGGACCUCUCGCCAUUUGAUUAGCCCAAGUGAGAUUAGCUAGUUGGUGAGGUAAUGGCUCACCAAGGCGACGAUCUCUAGCUGGUUUGAGAGGAUGAUCAGCCACACUGGGACUGAGACACGGCCCAGACUCCUACGGGAGGCAGCAGUGGGGAAUAUUGCACAAUGGGCGAAAGCCUGAUGCAGCCAUGCCGCGUGUGUGAAGAAGGCCUUCGGGUUGUAAAGCACUUUCAGUUGUGAGGAAAGGGAUGUAGUUAAUAGCUGCAUUCUGUGACGUUAACAACAGAAGAAGCACCGGCUAACUUCGUGCCAGCAGCCGCGGUAAUACGAGGGGUGCAAGCGUUAAUCGGAAUUACUGGGCGUAAAGCGUACGUAGGCGGUUUGAUAAGCAAGAUGUGAAAGCCCAGGGCUCAACCUUGGAACUGCAUUUUGAACUGUCAGACUAGAGUACUGUAGAGGGUGGUGGAAUUUCCAGUGUAGCGGUGAAAUGCGUAGAGAUUGGAAGGAACAUCAGUGGCGAAGGCGGCCACCUGGACAGAUACUGACGCUGAGGUACGAAAGCGUGGGGAGCGAACAGGAUUAGAUACCCUGGUAGUCCACGCCGUAAACGAUGUCAACUAGCCGUUUGUUUCCUAGAGAAGUGAGUGGCGCAGCU
Molecule: ribosomal RNA, 854 nt
Filed under: uncultured Colwellia sp.
Lineage: Bacteria; Pseudomonadati; Pseudomonadota; Gammaproteobacteria; Alteromonadales; Colwelliaceae
Description: bacterial SSU rRNA
Rfam family: Bacterial small subunit ribosomal RNA
Source: RNAcentral